UGCUCCCCACGCUUUCGAGCCUCAACGUCAGUUACAGUCCAGUAAGCCGCCUUCGCCACCGGUGUUCCUCCUAAUAUCUACGCAUUUCACCGCUACACUAGGAAUUCCACUUUACUCUCCUGCACUCUAGACUAACAGUUUCCAAUGCAGCUUCGGGGGUUGAGGCCCGACAUUUCACAUCAAACUUGGGAGUCGGUCUGGCUCCCUUUAAACCCAGUAAAUCGGGAUAAGCCUGCCCCCUAAUAUUACCGGGGUUGUUGGCAGUUAUUUACCCGGGCUUCUUAUCACGUGACCGGCAUUUCCUCCCUGCGAAAAAACUUUAAUAACCGAUUAUUUUUCAAUUAACCGGGGUUUUUUAUAAGGGUUUCCCCCCAUUUGGAAAAUUCCCCACGGUUGCCUCCCCUAGGAAUUUGGGGCCCGGUUUCAACUCCAAAGUGUGGCGUUACCCCCUUAGGGGGGGGAUUGAUUUUUCCCCUCGGGGAAACCCGGGGCCUACAA
This 498-nucleotide ribosomal RNA is filed under the name uncultured bacterium. Its description in RNAcentral is "partial 16S ribosomal RNA". The record is from RNAcentral.